Molecule: unclassified non-coding RNA, 209 nt
Filed under: Hevea brasiliensis (rubber tree)
Lineage: Eukaryota; Viridiplantae; Streptophyta; Magnoliopsida; Malpighiales; Euphorbiaceae
Source: RNAcentral
UAUUCUUCCAGCCUUAAGGUUGAGUUAUCUUCAUCUCCCUCCCCAUUUGAAACGUUGCUUCGGUUAUUGUGCAAUUUUGCCAAAGGAUCGUGAGUUUGAUAGGAAUAAGUUAGUUUUGUUAUGGAUGGCUGAGGGUUUCUUAUAUGACCCAAAGAAAAUGGAGGAGACAGAAGGUUUGGGUCAUCAAUAUUUUGAUGAUUUAUUAUCAA